RNAcentral lists this microRNA precursor (125 nucleotides) under Hordeum vulgare. Its description in RNAcentral is "microRNA MIR1122". It matches the Rfam family "MIR1120/MIR1122 microRNA precursor family". Lineage: Eukaryota; Viridiplantae; Streptophyta; Magnoliopsida; Poales; Poaceae. The record is from RNAcentral.
UUUUUAUUUUCCUCCGUCCGGAAAUACUUGUCCUAGAAAUGGAUGUAUCUAGACUUAUUUUAAUUAAAGAUACAUCCAUUGUAUACAUUUUUAGGACAAGUAUUUCCGGACGGAGGGAGUAGUAU